This is a long non-coding RNA of Brachypodium distachyon (stiff brome), 1696 nucleotides long. RefSeq lists it as uncharacterized. Lineage: Eukaryota; Viridiplantae; Streptophyta; Magnoliopsida; Poales; Poaceae. The transcript has 2 exons. The record is from RefSeq and is a predicted model, not a curated record.
UCAAAAUAAAAAAUCACAGCAAAAUCACCGGAACAGGAGCUCUCCGCGGAGAAGCCCAGGACAGAGCUCUCCGUGGUGGCGGGGACGGGAGCGGGGGCGGACACGGACGCGGGACGAUGUCGUCGCCGGAGUUGAGGACGGCGGCGGCCAAACCCACUGCCAGCCAGGAAGAGAUGAACAGGUUUCUGGAAAGAGGAUCGAUUGGAGGGACCGUACGGAGGAGAGAGGGAAGCUGGGACCGACUGCUAAUUAGAUGGGAUGGGCAGAGAAUUAAGGAAAAGAAAAGGAGAAUUAAGGAAAGGGGAGGACAGGUGGUUGGUAUAUACGGUAGGUGCAAAUGCCAUGCAGCGUACCGGGAGGUUUGGCUGCCAGACUUGCCAAGAUCGUGCCAAAAGGUUGCAACUGCGCGACCGCGGAAGCGCCCAAAAUCAAACCCUCUCGCUCGCCAGUCGCCACCAUCAAUGGCGGUUCGCCGCGGCCGGCGGCGACCACGCCCUCCCUCCUCGACCCAACCGCUCCCUCCGCGGCACCCCGUUCGUUAAGCGCUUGCGCAAGGCCGACCCCUGCGUUCAGCAGACGAGCCUCUCUCCCUUACUGACGGCGGCCUCACAUGCAGGGUCUUUCCGCAGCUCCACUCCCACGGGCCACGGGAUCUGAUGCGAUGGCUGUGCGCGCGUUCCCGCGACCCGCGGCGCGGUUACGCUCUCCGGCAGGCACCCUUACCUGAGCCUCCCCGCCCGGCUGCCUCGCCCGACAACUUCAUCCUCACUCCUCAGCGAGCGCCCUCUAAGUGCAGAGGCGGACCUUUGAAAAGACUGAAAAUUGUCUGCAGUGGAACUCCCGUUUUGUUAAAGUAGUUUUCGAGAUUGCAUGGCGUGGUUAACUCUAUGAUAUUACAGGAUAUGUAUGGAAGGUAAGACUCUUCUGUAUUCCAUAAGUUUCCGCUACUAGAUACAUUUCUUACAGCUGUAGUCUUUUAGGAGAGUGAGGUUCAUCUUUGAUGGGGCUUCUCAUCACUGGUUUCUUAUUUGAGAGCACAACUACAUGAGAGACAUGAUAAUCAACAUACAUGGUACACACCUUGGGCCACCAUGCCUGGUGGUUGGUUCUGAUGGGAAACAACCUAGUUUGUCAGUUACCUAAAAGGUUUCCAUUGUGUACUAUUAACUAUUGUAAUUAUGAGCCAUUAAUUCUUACUUUGCACCAGAGAAAUACGAAGAAAACAAUCAUAGUCCAAAUCAUUUUUCAUUAGGACGCUCUUUGCUUCACCCCUCUGAUUUUAGUCUGUCAUUGCAUCAUCCAAUCAAACUCUGUUUAGCUGGAUAGUCAUCUUGAUUCCUUUCAUUAAUUAUGACCAAUUCACGAUAUCACUUUCUAUUUUCAUCGAUCACCCAGUGGAUCAAAUCCAGUUCUAGCAGUAGCAGCAGAAGCCUGGGUAGCAGUUAAAUUUAUGCUGUUAAAAAGCCACACAAUAAAUAAACCAUACACACAAACUGUUUUAUUCGUUCACUCAAACACAUACAGCGACAUGGGGGCCAAGGUCACAUGUAUCACAGCAUAUCAGAGAGGCAUCAAGCCUCAUGAUUUUAUUAUUGUCACACCAUAUGAUUAUAACCUCUUAACACAUCAGUUUAUUUAUUCUCGGCCUACUUCCACACAGUAGCCUUAUUUCUGUUUACCAGCACCUCUUGGCCCU